Molecule: unclassified non-coding RNA, 2649 nt
Filed under: Hevea brasiliensis (rubber tree)
Lineage: Eukaryota; Viridiplantae; Streptophyta; Magnoliopsida; Malpighiales; Euphorbiaceae
Source: RNAcentral
CUCAAGAGCUGGAAAAGGAUUUGAGUUACUCAUACUCUCCCCAUAAAACUCACGACCAACUGCUUUUACAUUGGGAAGCCCUUUGAUAAACAAGUCCUUGAGAGAGCAAAGCAGCCCAAGUUGAGGCAAGGUUGUGCAUUUUGUGCAAUUCCACAACUUUAGGUGCACCAGAUUACAAAAUAAAGGAUCCCCAACCCAUGAUGGGAAUUCGGUACCACCAUAACCCCUUACAGUGAGCUCUUUCAAAUUUCCAUGUGGUUUCAUCUUCUCUAGUACAACUCUAUCAUGACUUGCAUUUCGUGUAUUUCGAAAUCCCCAUUUCAUCACCACCUUGUCUAUUCUCUCCUUGUCCGUUAAGAUGGCUCCCACUACAUUUGAAGCAUUAGUCAGAUUCUCCAAACUUGAAAUGCGGAGUGCCCCUUGAAGAAAUUUUAAAUUCAUCAAAGCUGUUAUACCCACUUCAUUGCCUUUCCCUACAACAAAAUCAGACAAUGUCCGAAGACUUCUCAAUUUUUCCAUUCCCUGCGGCAUCACUUUAAGAGCUGUCCAUCGGAUAUCAAGAUGACGUAGGUUGAUCAGAUUUUGCAUUUCUGAUGGCAAGUUCUUUAGAUCACAACAGCCUUGCAGCAGCAUAGUUUGUAAAUUACAUAGAGAGGUUGUUCUCUCAGGUAAAGUUACAAUACGAGUGUAUGAAAGGUCGAGAUACCUUAGAUGCUUCAAGUCACCUAUUGAAUCUGGUAGCUUAGUGAUUUUAUAAUGAUUGAAGGACAGCACCCUUAAGAAUCGUAACUUUGAAAACAAAUAAGAAGGAAUGCAAUUUGCUAAGCAGAUAUCCAUAUCACCAGCUAGUGAUAGGGGCAGGAAGGUUCGCAUAUGCUUCAUGGUUUCAAAUGGCUCAAAUCUUUCACAGCGAUCAAAGCCAGGGAUGUAAGAAGAGUGGCGAGCUUUUUCUGGCUUACUUGCGGUCAAUUUAUCUUCCAAUCUGAAACAUGCACCUCCAGCAACCACUUGUGCUAGUUCAAGCACGAGGCCAUGCAUCACGAAUCCACCAUUGCUUGAAGAUUGAAAAAGUGAUCUGGAAAAUAGAUCUUGAAAAUACUCUUCACCAACAUCCUCCAUACGAUCUCCUUGCUCAAUUAAACCUUCUGCCAUCCAUAGAAGGACUAGUUCCUUUUCCUCAAAUUCAUAAUCUUUUGGAAGAAUUGCACAGUACGCAAAACACCUCUUUAAGUAUGAAGGGAGAUGAUAGUAACUUAAUCUUAACACAGGAAGAACAUCACCAUCAACACCUUGCAAAUUCCAUAUUUUGCUGUUCAAUAAAUUGUCCCAUUCACUGGCAUCUUUUGCCCGAAAAAGGCCACCCAAAGUCUUUGCUGCCAAAGGCAAGCCUCCACACCUGUAUAUGGCUCUUUCGCGUAGGGUUUCCAAAUUUGGAUAUGCAAUAAUACUUCUAUUUUCAAAAGCAUGCCUAGAAAACAAUAACCAGCAAUCAUCAUCCGAAAUACAAGUCAAAGCAUGACUGUCAACAGUUCCCAUCAUUUGUGCAACAACUGUACUGCGUGUUGUUAUAAUGACUUUACUUCCUUGAGCUCCAUCCAUAAAUGGGGAACUUAAGGUAUUCCAAUCUUCAUAGCUCUCACUCCAAACAUCAUCUAAAACUAUGAGAAACUGUUUUCCAGCUAAUUCCUUGGACAACUUCAGUUGAACUUGAUUCAACUCCUUCAGAUCACAAGGCUGCCAAGUGAUUGAUUCAAGAAUGGCCUUUGUUAUUCUCAUAAUAUCAAAUUCAUCUGAGACACAAACCCAUGCUUUUGCAUCAAAAUGUUGGGAUGCUUUAUCAUGGUACACAAGCCGGGCAAGUGUUGUUUUACCAACCCCACCCAUUCCAACAAUGGGUAUCACAGAAACCUUUGGAUCAGCGGUUCCAUCCCUUAACAGCAAAUCGAGAAUUCUCCUUUUAUCUUCAUCUCUGCCGUACACUUGCGGUUCAUUUUGCAAACACGUAGUGGGUGGUGGUUGAUAGAGCUUUUUAGACAUCUUUCCAACGUUCUCUCUCAAAUCUAAGUCAUUUCUCUGGGCUACAAUAUCUUCUAAUCUGGUAGUGAUUUCCUCUAUCUUGGUCAUCAUCUUGGAAUUAAACAUGAUAAUUUUCGGAUUGAAACUAGUACAACAAGUGGGAAGGAAUUUUUGAAGCUUACUAGUGGUGGGUUGAGGAUCUCCCAAUCCCAUCAAGUGGCGUCCCAAACAUUGAGUAGCAAAUUCAUCCAAGACGUCCUCCACAUCGUAAGCCAAGCAUUUGAGGUUGGUGAGCCAAAUCUUCACCGAUCGAUUAGCAGUCUGCUUGUCCUCGGCAUCGUCAAGCACAGCAUUGAUUUUGAGUAACAUUUUCUCCCACUUGUUAAUCUGAGCAAGAACUUGCUUCUCACGAGCAAAUUUCAGCAACUCUGAGGAGGCAAUCUUUUCAAAAAGCACCUGAAAGAGCGCAGACAAAGCAGCACUACCAAUAACAGACAUCGUUUCUUGCAUGAAAGUAGAAACAGAGGAUUAUGGCAGAGAAAAGGGUUGAUUGAUCCGGAGCAAACAGAGAAAAGGAUUAACAAGGAAGAUGAGAUUUUAGAGAGAGAGAGUUGACUUUGACUUCGAUUCCCU